UACGUAGGGUGCAAGCGUUGUCCGGAAUUAUUGGGCGUAAAGAGCUCGUAGGCGGUCUGUCGCGUCGGCUGUGAAAACUCGGGGCUCAACCCCGAGCCUGCAGUCGAUACGGGCUGGCUUGAGUGCGGUAGGGGAGACUGGAAUUCCUGGUGUAGCGGUGAAAUGCGCAGAUAUCAGGAGGAACACCGGUGGCGAAGGCGGCAUCCUGGACCGGUAUUGACGCUGAGGCGCGAAAGCUAGGGGAGCAAACGGG
RNAcentral lists this ribosomal RNA (253 nucleotides) under uncultured bacterium. RNAcentral's name for it is "partial 16S ribosomal RNA". It matches the Rfam family "Bacterial small subunit ribosomal RNA", at positions 524 to 776 of the family's 1533-position model. The record is from RNAcentral.